Molecule: transfer RNA, 84 nt
Filed under: Colletotrichum gloeosporioides Cg-14
Lineage: Eukaryota; Fungi; Ascomycota; Sordariomycetes; Glomerellales; Glomerellaceae
Rfam family: tRNA
About the family: Transfer RNA (tRNA) molecules are approximately 80 nucleotides in length. Their secondary structure includes four short double-helical elements and three loops (D, anti-codon, and T loops).
Source: Rfam by way of RNAcentral
UCCUCGAUAGUCUAGUGGUGAGGAUAUCGGCUUGUCAUUCAUCGCAACACGCCGGGGACCGGGGUUCAAUUCCCCGUCGAGGAG